This 390-nucleotide ribosomal RNA is filed under the name Triticum aestivum (bread wheat). Its description in RNAcentral is "partial small subunit ribosomal RNA". The record is from RNAcentral. Lineage: Eukaryota; Viridiplantae; Streptophyta; Magnoliopsida; Poales; Poaceae.
AUGGUCCUCGCCGGUGGCGAGCUCGACAUCAGUCACAAACCUAGUGUGCAUCGUCAUUGGUGUUCUUUUCAGGUUUACUUUAGGAAGUCUUCGAGUUUGGCUUGGGGUGGUGAGACGGCGAAGCUGUUUCUGCCCUGCCGGACCGGCAUCCCAGCUACCUGCUCUCUGAUCAAGGUGUCGUCGCUGCCGCGUAGGCAGCCUCCGCUUCCGCCUCCGCCGUGUCCUCAUUGUCCGCCCCUAUCAACUCAUCAUUCUGCCGCUGCAACAUCUGGUAGCGGGCGGAUUGCACGAUCAUUCUUGCGUCGGCAUCCAAAGUGGCCACAUUCAAGGACAACAUCUUGGCGUCCUCCGCAUUGGCGGCGAUCUGGAACUUCUUUUCCUCAAGCGUGA